ACCAGAGGCUUUAGUGGUUAGCAUGUUGGCCUCACACCUCUGUGGUUGGGGGCUCGAAUCCCUCCUCUGGCC
Ameiurus melas (black bullhead) is the source of this 72-nucleotide non-coding RNA. The record is from the annotation of a GenBank genome assembly. Lineage: Eukaryota; Metazoa; Chordata; Actinopteri; Siluriformes; Ictaluridae.